AUGAAGAGCUCAAUCUGUUCAUGUCCAGGUCUGAGUGAGGACGUCACUGUUGUGGCGUGUGUGGGAACAAAUGGCAGUUUGAUGCUGGAUGUGCAGAAUAGAGACGGCAGCAGCAACGGAGCUGAGUCUCUGGGCAGUGUGUCUGUGGGAGCAGCCAAUCAGAGGCUGGUGCUGAGAGCAGGUGGCUGUUUGCAAAGUCUCACUGCAGUGGAGGCACGCAUUCAAUACUUGAGCUCUCAGAUACAGAAUAAGCUGCUUGAGAGAAUCAAGACAUUACAGCAUCUCCUUGAUGAAUUCAGACGGCAGGUAACCAAACUUCUGCAGGACACUGUAAACAAAUGCAUGGAACGUCUAACUUUAAUGUGCAGUAUGUUUUUAAUUUGGUUUCUCUUCACAACUUUCUCUCUGCAGUCCCGGGACAGUGAGUUACUCCAGGAGCUGAGCUCGGUUCCCCUUCAUGUUUCCCAGCGAGCAGAGGCUCUGCUGGUGCACAGAGGCAGAGCUUUGUUGGCUCUGUGGCAGCACAGCCCCCCGCGUCAUAUUGUGACCGACAGCCUGCCACGCUUUCUCAGCCUGCUGCAGCACGCCUCUCUGCUGGGACAACAGGAGCUGAGGAGGCCCUUGGCCACUCUGGCAGGCGUGUACCAAGAUGUGAAGGGCCAGAGACUUGAGGCGCUGUGGAGGGAAGCUGUUUCGUUGUGGACAGACAGGCUGCUGCAGGUCCUACAUGUGCUGUUAGAGAAGCGUCAGCUGAGGUCGCUGGCUCAGGCCAGUGUCUCCACGCUCAGAGUUGCCCUGGAUGUGGCAGGACAGCAUACCUACCACUGGGUGGAGACCAGGUUGGCAAUGGCUCUGUCUGGGGUCAGGAAACGACUGGCCUCUGUCUACAAACUCUCCCCCAGGUACUGCACAUGUCUGACACAUACAUGAAGAAAAGCUCUCUGCACCACAUUUUUCAUUCUUACAUUCCUUUCAUACAGUUACGUAAAGUGGUCAGUG
This 999-nucleotide long non-coding RNA is filed under the name Cottoperca gobio. RNAcentral describes it as "lncRNA (ENSCGOG00000010566.1)". The record is from RNAcentral. Lineage: Eukaryota; Metazoa; Chordata; Actinopteri; Perciformes; Bovichtidae.